This 756-nucleotide ribosomal RNA is filed under the name uncultured bacterium. RNAcentral's name for it is "bacterial SSU rRNA". It matches the Rfam family "Bacterial small subunit ribosomal RNA", at positions 8 to 796 of the family's 1533-position model. The record is from RNAcentral.
AGAGUUUGAUCCUGGCUCAGAAUCAACGCUGGCGGCGUGCCUAACACAUGCAAGUCGCACGAGAAAGGGGAGCAAUCCCUGAGUAAAGUGGCGCACGGGUGAGUAACACGUGAAUCAUCUACCUCCGAGUGGGGAAUAACCUAGAGAAAUCUGGGCUAAUACCGCAUAACACUUACGAGUCAAAGCAGCAAUGCGCUUGGAGAGGAGUUCGCGGCCGAUUAGCUAGUUGGCGGGGUAAUGGCCCACCAAGGCGAUGAUCGGUAUCCGGCCUGAGAGGGCGCACGGACACACUGGAACUGAAACACGGUCCAGACUCCUACGGGAGGCAGCAGUGGGGAAUUUUGCGCAAUGGGGGAAACCCUGACGCAGCAACGCCGCGUGGAGGAUGAAAUAUCUUGGUAUGUAAACUCCUUUCGAUGGGGAAGAUUAUGACGGUACCCAUAGAAGAAGCCCCGGCUAACUUCGUGCCAGCAGCCGCGGUAAUACGAGGGGGGCAAGCGUUGUUCGGAUUUAUUGGGCGUAAAGGGUGCGUAGGCGGUUUGGCAAGUCUUGUGUGAAAUCUUCGGGCUCAACCCGAAGCCUGCACAAGAAACUGCCGGGCUUGAGUAUGGGAGAGGUGAGUGGAAUUUCCGGUGUAGCGGUGAAAUGCGUAGAUAUCGGAAGGAACACCUGUGGCGAAAGCGGCUCACUGGACCAUAACUGACGCUGAUGCACGAAAGCUAGGGGAGCAAACAGGAUUAGAUACCCUAGUAGUCC